This 386-nucleotide long non-coding RNA is filed under the name Cricetulus griseus (Chinese hamster). Its description in RNAcentral is "lncRNA (ENSCGRG00015032380.1)". Lineage: Eukaryota; Metazoa; Chordata; Mammalia; Rodentia; Cricetidae. The record is from RNAcentral.
CCUGACUUCCGAACAUCCCAGAGCCUGCUGCCAACUUUAUUUUUAAUGAGGUUUUAAUAGGCCGUUUCUGUAAUUAAUUUCAUUCUUGUAUUUUCACACUUUCUGUCUAGAUGCCUAAACGCCCCCAGGCGCUAGGUGGGAUGUUAACUGAUUCCAAAUAAUGCAAAACACUAUGCCUGUGAUUAGACAUUUCCCAAGUCCCUCUCAUUUGCAAUUGCUUUACAAUAAUUAAUUAGCUGGGGCACACAGCCCAGUGGAAGGUCAGCCGGUUACCUGUCAGGUUUUACAGAGGCAGAAAUAGAUAAGGUGAAGAGACCAAAGGAUUUAAGGAUGAACAGAGGUACAAAAUCUGGGACUAUGAAGACGGAGGGGGAGGAGUUCGUGCU